Molecule: ribosomal RNA, 490 nt
Filed under: uncultured bacterium
Lineage: Bacteria
Description: bacterial SSU rRNA
Rfam family: Bacterial small subunit ribosomal RNA
Source: RNAcentral
AACGAACGCUGGCGGCAUGCCUAACACAUGCAAGUCGAACGGGAUCCAGGCUUCGGCCUGGUGAGAGUGGCGGACGGGUGAGUAACGCGUGGGAACCUGCCCAAUGGUCUGGGAUAACCGCGGGAAACUGCGGCUAAUACCGGAUAAGCCCGAGAGGGGAAAGAUUUAUCGCCGAUGGAGGGGCCCGCGUCCGAUUAGGUAGUUGGUGAGGUAAUGGCUCACCAAGCCGACGAUCGGUAGCUGGUCUGAGAGGGUGAUCAGCCACACUGGGACUGAGAUACGGCCCAGACUCCUACGGGAGGCAGCAGUGGGGAAUAUUGGACAAUGGGGGCAACCCUGAUCCAGCAAUGCCGCGUGAGUGAUGAAGGCCUUAGGGUUGUAAAGCUCUUUUGGCGGGACGAUGAUGACGGUACCCGCAGAAUAAGCCCCGGCUAACUUCGUGCCAGCAGCCGCGGUAAUACGAAGGGGGUCGAGCGUUGUUCGGAAUUAC